CAGUUCGGAUUGCAGGCUGCAACUCGCCUGCAUGAAGCUGGAAUUGCUAGUAAUCGCGGAUCAGCAAGCCGCGGUGAAUACGUUCCCGGGCCUUGUACACACCGCCCGUCACACCAUGAGAGUCGGGAACACCCGAAGUCCGUAGUCUAACCGCAAGGGGGGCGCGGCCGAAGGUGGGUCCGGUAAUUGGGGUGAAGUCGUAACAAGGUACC
RNAcentral lists this ribosomal RNA (212 nucleotides) under uncultured bacterium. RNAcentral's name for it is "partial 16S ribosomal RNA". It matches the Rfam family "Bacterial small subunit ribosomal RNA", at positions 1289 to 1500 of the family's 1533-position model. The record is from RNAcentral.